GGACAGAUUUAACAGAGAUACUUUACUGUGCAAAUGUUUUAGGCCACUAUUACAUUUUUAACACAGUACAACAACAAACACAGGAAGUACUGUAUGUUUACAGCAUUAACAACAACAACAAAAAGAAAAAAAUCCACAUAGUUACAAGGCCGUAUUUAACCAAUGCUUCUUAUUCAUUAAGAGCCCACAUGUAUUAGCCAAAACUGUAUGCAAAAAAAAGAGCACUGUGUUCUCAGAAAGUACACCAUUUUAAAAUAACAUGGCUACAAUUGGCAGCUACUUGGUGGGUGGAAGCAUCAAAGAAUGUCGUCUGUUUUUAAGGGUGGCAAAGGCGUCUAUCACUCUAUUGUGAUUUAGGUGCUGAAGCUCCUCUUUUUCAAUUGACAUGACUGCAAGACUGUGAAUGCCAUGACUUUCACUCACAACACAAUAAUUGUUUACUCCCAAAUAUUUUGAAGUCACACAGAAUAUAUUUUGGGCACAUAUGUGACUAAAAUGGUUGUAAUUUUAAGCCCUGAAAAAAUAUAACUUAAUUACAUAAAUUACAGUUAUAUUAAGGUACUCUUGAAAAUAUUUGGGCCAGGCUAAUUUGGCUUAUACAUCACUCUCUUGUAGGGAUGCACGAUAUAUCGGCAUUAAUAUUGGUAUCGGCCGAUGUUCGUCAUUUUUUAACAUAUCGGCAUCGGUCCAAUGAGUAAAACUGCGCCGAUUUUAACAACCGAUGUUAAUACCCGUCUAUUUGCUGUUUGUGUAUGUGUGUCGGGAAGGGGAGGCCAUGCUGCAUUUCUUUGAACAUGUUACAGUGACGCAAGUGCAGCACAAGGUGUGUGUGUGUGUGUGUGUGUGUGUGUGUGUUGAGGAGAGAUAAUGUCAGCGGUGUGGGCGUUUUUUCAGGGUGUCGAUAGAAGAUACGCGAAAAGCAUUAUGCAACACUUGCAAAGUUGAGAUAGGCCUGCAGUCAUAGGCCUAAUGACGCCACUGACUCUCCUAAAUAAAAGCUCAAGUUAAAUAAG
Solea solea (common sole) is the source of this 1013-nucleotide long non-coding RNA. RefSeq lists it as uncharacterized. The record is from RefSeq and is a predicted model, not a curated record. NCBI's taxonomy places the organism in Eukaryota, Metazoa, Chordata, Actinopteri, Pleuronectiformes, Soleidae. The transcript has 2 exons.